GAUCAUGGCUCAGGAUGAACGCUAGCGACAGGCUUAACACACGCAAGUCGAGGGGCAGCACAGGUAGCAAUACCGGGUGGCGACCGGCGCACGGGUGAGUAACGCGUAUGCAACUGGCCUAUCAGAGGGGGAUAACCCGGCGAAAGUCGGACUAAUACCGCAUGAAGCAGGGGUCCCGCAUGGGGAUAUUUGCUAAAGAUUCAUCGCUGAUAGAUAGGCAUGCGUUCCAUUAGG
RNAcentral lists this ribosomal RNA (234 nucleotides) under uncultured bacterium. RNAcentral describes it as "partial 16S ribosomal RNA". It matches the Rfam family "Bacterial small subunit ribosomal RNA", at positions 15 to 245 of the family's 1533-position model. The record is from RNAcentral.